AUUGAACGCUGGCGGCAGGCUUAACACAUGCAAGUCGAACGAGUGGCGGACGGGUGAGUAAUGUAUCGGAACGUGCCUUAUAGAGGGGGAUAACUACUCGAAAGGGUAGCUAAUACCGCAUACUAUUGUAUCUGCCCAGAUGGGAUUAGCUAGUUGGUGGGGUAAAGGCUCACCAAGGCCACGAUCCGUAGCUGGUCUGAGAGGAUGACCAGCCACCCUGGAACUGAGACACGGGCCAGACUCCUACGGGAGGCAGCAGUGGGGAAUAUUGCACAAUGGGCGAAAGCCUGAUGCAGCCAUGCCGCGUGUAUGAAGAAGGCCUUCGGGUUGUAAAGUACUUUUAGCGGGGAGGCGUUACCCGCAGAAGAAGCACCGGCUAACUCCGUGCCAGCAGCCGCGGUAAUUC
RNAcentral lists this ribosomal RNA (406 nucleotides) under uncultured bacterium. RNAcentral's name for it is "partial 16S ribosomal RNA". It matches the Rfam family "Bacterial small subunit ribosomal RNA", at positions 30 to 526 of the family's 1533-position model. The record is from RNAcentral.